RNAcentral lists this non-coding RNA (23 nucleotides) under Gallus gallus (chicken). The record is from RNAcentral. RNAcentral also lists the same sequence under 1 other name. Lineage: Eukaryota; Metazoa; Chordata; Aves; Galliformes; Phasianidae.
GGGUGGGGAUUUGUGGCAUUACU